Molecule: ribosomal RNA, 772 nt
Filed under: uncultured Aphanizomenon sp.
Lineage: Bacteria; Bacillati; Cyanobacteriota; Cyanophyceae; Nostocales; Aphanizomenonaceae
Description: bacterial SSU rRNA
Rfam family: Bacterial small subunit ribosomal RNA
Source: RNAcentral
GUUUAGAAGUUUUUAACUGGCUCAGGAUGAACGCUGGCGGUAUGCUUAACACAUGCAAGUCGAACGGUCUUUUCGGAGAUAGUGGCGGACGGGUGAGUAACGCGUGAGAAUCUGCCUUCAGGUCGGGGACAACCACUGGAAACGGUGGCUAAUACCGGAUAAGCCGAGAGGUGAAAGGCUAGCUGCCUGAAGAUGAGCUCGCGUCUGAUUAGCUAGUUGGUAGGGUAAGAGCCUACCAAGGCGACGAUCAGUAGCUGGUCUGAGAGGAUGACCAGCCACACUGGGACUGAGACACGGCCCAGACUCCUACGGGAGGCAGCAGUGGGGAAUUUUCCGCAAUGGGCGAAAGCCUGACGGAGCAAUACCGCGUGAGGGAGGAAGGCUCUUGGGUUGUAAACCUCUUUUCUCAGGGAAGAAAAUUGACGGUACCUGAGGAAUAAGCAUCGGCUAACUCCGUGCCAGCAGCCGCGGUAAUACGGAGGAUGCAAGCGUUAUCCGGAAUGAUUGGGCGUAAAGGGUCUGCAGGUGGCCGUGUAAGUCUGCUGUUAAAGAAUCUGGCUUAACCAGAUAAAAGCAGUGGAAACUACAGGGCUAGAGUGCGUUCGGGGUAGAGGGAAUUCCUGGUGUAGCGGUGAAAUGCGUAGAUAUCAGGAAGAACACCAGUGGCGAAAGCGCUCUACUAGGCCGCAACUGACACUGAGGGACGAAAGCUAGGGGAGCGAAUGGGAUUAGAUACCCCAGUAGUCCUAGCCGUAAACGAUGAACAGCACAU